This 253-nucleotide ribosomal RNA is filed under the name uncultured bacterium. RNAcentral describes it as "partial 16S ribosomal RNA". It matches the Rfam family "Bacterial small subunit ribosomal RNA", at positions 524 to 776 of the family's 1533-position model. The record is from RNAcentral.
GACGUAGGGCGCGAGCGUUGUCCGGAUUUAUUGGGCGUAAAGAGCUCGUAGGCGGCUUGUCGCGUCGUCCGUGAAAACCUGCAGCUCAACUGCAGGCUUGCGGUCGAUACGGGCAGGCUAGAGUUCGGUAGGGGAGACUGGAAUUCCUGGUGUAGCGGUGAAAUGCGCAGAUAUCAGGAGGAACACCUAUGGCGAAGGCAGCUCGCUGGGACGGUACUGACGCUGAGACGCGAAAGCGUGGGGAGCGAACAGG